Ictalurus furcatus (blue catfish) is the source of this 3556-nucleotide long non-coding RNA. RefSeq lists it as uncharacterized. The record is from RefSeq and is a predicted model, not a curated record. NCBI's taxonomy places the organism in Eukaryota, Metazoa, Chordata, Actinopteri, Siluriformes, Ictaluridae. The transcript has 3 exons.
ACUUUUUGUUUGCUUUUUGUAUUUCAUAAUGAGAGGUCAGAUUUCGGUUUUAAGCUUUAUUCAAAUACAGUAGAAAUUUUAGCAGAGAAAUGGGGGUCUGUUGGGUGUUUUCUUUGUGAUUGCAAUUCACCUGACAGGUAGCAGAGGGUCAUAAAAUUCCCAAAGCCCUCCUUUAUGGCACACAGUUAUUGUUUUUCAUCAUCUCAACAUGGUGUCAGUGUUUGGUGUACUGCAAAGAAUGCAAAAACAUCUCAGUACUCAAAACCCAAUCAUAUCUGAGACAUCUAGGUGAUGUGCCUAAAAUCCACAGGGCUUUAAUCUGGAGCAGGAAUUGCAUAUCACAGCAUUUCUGAGUCCCAAUCCACCUACUAUCCAUCCUAAAUAGUAUCUGAGAUUAGAAUUGUCCCAAAUGGUAGUAUGUUGAAAUCAGUAUCCCAAAGGUACCCGGAUGGUCUACUAUUUCUGGUAGAUUUUCAAAGUGUGGCUCCAUGGACACUGUUUCAGCUAAUAUCCCCCACAAUUCCUUGCAUGAAGGAGGAGUUUUGUGACUGUUUACUUUGCCGAAUUCUACCUGCAAACAUGGUGUUGAAACAAUGAAAUGUGGAAAAAUAAAUCAAGGGAAUGAUAAAUGAAAUUAUAUAGUAUAAAUUAUAUAAAUAAUAAUGAAUGAAGAAAAUCUGAAAUGUAAACAGGAGUUUGUUUACAGUGACAGUGUGUGUAACUAGGCAACAACGUUCUAUUCCUUUACAUGACGUGUUAGUCUGUCCCAGAACUUGCAUACUCUUUUGCUAUACAUUCAAAUGUAUGUACCUUUUCUCCACAAAAAGAGCACAUACUUUUAGUGCAUAGUAUGAGUAGGCGAAUUGGGAUGCAGCACAUGACACAGCUCAAAAAGUCAAAAGGAUUUAACUGGACAUAAUUGCAUGUUUUGUUUUGUUUUCCAAACUAUAACUGAAGCAGAGUCAAUCAUCCAAAUAGUAAUCGUUUACCAUUCGCUAAUGUUGCUUUUUACCAUGUACGCCGUAUCUUUAAGACUUCAAAAUUUGAGUUAGGUUGAGAUACUACUUUAUCUGAGAUGUUAACAGGAGGCUAGGUGCAUGUUUAUGAAAACAUCUCCAAAGACUUGUACAAGGGAAGGACAGAUGAGGUAAAACUGAAUAGUCCACUAGGCGUGACAAUAAGUUGACUUACAAAAAUGUAAGAGGAAAAAAAAAAGUUAUUCUUUGCUCAAAGGGUGGUUAAAACUAUUCUUCUAAAAAAAAAAAAAAAAUACCACACACAUAAUGAUGUGGUCACUUCCUAGUCUUAAGUUAUUGUAAUGCAUACUGCGACUAGAAAAGCACACUGAUGUCCAUCUCCCCAAAUGCAAUUCUGUCAAUACAGUAGAGUGUCAUAAAAUUGCUAUGUUCAAUCAAUAGCUCUGUUUAAACCAACAAACUCAAUUCCUCCGCACAUUACUUUGUCAUUAGAGUCGCUCGAGAACAAUGUUUGGCAGACUUCUUGAGCAAGCCCGACCUGGGAAACCAACAUCUGGAGUACUUGAUCUCUCAGAGGGCCUGCAUGUUUCUGACACAUGUCCACAUGCUGACAGUAAUACAGGGGUAGAUUUAUGCUGCUGCAAUGACCGGCUCUGGCUCUGGGCCCUCUCACAUGCAGAGUUUUUGCUAUCUCAAAGGCAAUAUCUUUCAUGCUUUGAUCCCCAUCCUAAAUCUGUCUGGCACAUUUACUGCAGGGUAUAACGCAGGAUUGGAGUCAGGGGUCGCUGAGUCUGUGUUACAGGAGUCUGAUCACUUGCACUUUCGGCUUUAUGGAAGACUGAUCUAUGACCUGAUAUACAGUAUAUUAAUGUAUGUUAUAAAAAAAUAAAAAUGUGAUUUUGGAUCACAACAGAGACAGCGAAUAAAACCUUUUGGCCUACAUCCUACCAACCUCAGGAUGCUCGAUUCUUUGUGAAACAGCAUCCUGUAUAAAUAACAUUGCUGCAUGUUCGACAGCGCACACUGUACAUUUCACUUACAGUGUAGGUUCUGCGAGGCUUCACACUCUUACAGGUCUUCCUUAUGUAUGAUGUGUACAGUUUGGGGUGGGAGGCAGUUUGGCACGUCUACCCACAUGUACAUGAAUCAUUCUCCAUGCAUUACAUAAAGAAUAAACCACUGCAAGCGUUGCCCAUCCAUCAUUUUCUGUGCUGCUUAUCUUACACAGGCAGGGUCCCAGGGAGCCUGGAGCAUACCCCAGGGAACUUGGGGCACAAGGCGGUGGAUACUCUGGAUGGGGUGCCAUGUCUUUGGACUGGGGAGGAAACUGGAGUAAACCCCUGAAGCACAGGGAGAACAUGCAAGCUCUGCACACACAGGGCAGUUUUUUAUUUAUUGAAGAAUGACCCACAGUUCUUAUCUGUUUAUAGUUACAUUUACUGUUGUGGAACAUACAGCUUUAAACAGUCACCUCCUCUUUAGCCUCUUUUUUUUUUUAACUUAAAGUUAAUAAGUUGCCUUGUUUUUGACAACCACAAAAAAUAUGUUUAUGUGCUGUGUCUGCCAUACUAGUACCUGUGAAGUAGCUGCUGUUAUAGAACAUUAAUCAACACCUUCUGAACAACCAGAUCAGGAAUUCAUCAGCACUCAGGACAUAUCUUCUAACAGGUUAAAUAAAGGUGUUCUGGUACAGAAUCAGAAUCGAGUUCUCUUCCUGUGAGAAAUCUGUGUUUACUGUCUCUAGGACUUCUGACCUAUGCUUUUUGAAUGUUUUGCAUUUCUCAACUUUCCCAAUUGUUUCCAUGUGAUGUCAGGACUGCCGUGGACUAAUCCAUCUAUGAAACAGGCCCACAUUUUGACCCCAGCUGAAGUCAAAAUCAUGUUAAAUAUUCCUCAAGUGUCAAAACUAUGUUAAAUAUAUAAAAAUAUAUCUCUAUUUUUUUUUUUUUCAUGCAUGACUGUCUUGAAAGCAUACACUGCAUACCAGCGGUCACCAACCCUGCUCCUGGAGAUCUACCUUCCUGAAGACUUUAGCUCCAACCAUAAUCGUGCUUAAGACUUAAGGAAAUGAUUAGAUGGUCAGGUGGGUGCAAUUAUGGUUGGAGCUAAAGUCUUCAGUAAGGUAGAUCUCCAGGAACAGGGUUGGCGACCACUGCUGUACACCAACACACCAGUUAGGCCGGUAUAUAGGUGAUCAUGUUGUCUCUGUCUCCACCUGCUGGCCAAAGCACAACACAUACUAAAUACUCACUCCCUCACUUUCAGUACUGCUUUAUCCUGAUCAGGGUUCUGGAGGAUCCCUGGAACAAUAAGCGUGAGGUGGGAAUACACCAGGAUGGGACGCGAUGUAGGAGGAACCCAGAAGAGCCGGAGGAAACACACACAGACACAGGAAGAAGUCACCCAAACUCAGGAUCGAACCCAUUACUCUGAAGCCGUGAGAAUUUCAAGACUGAUCAUCACUCUGAUUGCCACUGUGAAGCAUGGUGUCGGUGGCAUAACGUUCCCUGUGCAGGGAUUGGAAAACUGCUCAGCGCUGAAGGCAGGAUGGAUGGAGCCAAAUACAGGGCAAUCCUAGA